Phytophthora nicotianae INRA-310 is the source of this 73-nucleotide non-coding RNA. NCBI's taxonomy places the organism in Eukaryota, Oomycota, Peronosporomycetes, Peronosporales, Peronosporaceae. The record is from the annotation of a RefSeq genome assembly.
GACCAUCUAGUUCAGUGGUCGAGCGCUCGCUUUAAAGCGUGAGGUCCGUGGUUCGAUACCACCCCCGAGGACA